This 458-nucleotide ribosomal RNA is filed under the name uncultured bacterium. Its description in RNAcentral is "partial 16S ribosomal RNA". It matches the Rfam family "Bacterial small subunit ribosomal RNA", at positions 338 to 795 of the family's 1533-position model. The record is from RNAcentral.
CCUACGGGCGGCAGCAGUGAGGAAUAUUGGUCAAUGGGCGAGAGCCUGAACCAGCCAAGUCGCGUGAGGGAGUACUGCCCUAUGGGUUGUAAACCUCUUUUGUCGGGGAGCAAAAGCCGGACGUGUCCGGCUGUGAGAGUACCCGAAGAAAAAGCAUCGGCUAACUCCGGGCCAGCACCCGCGGUAAUACGGAGGAUGCGAGCGUUAUCCGGAUUUAUUGGGGUUAAGGGGUGCGCAGGCGGAUUUUUAAGUCAGCGGUCAAAUCGUGGGGCUCAACCCCAUCCAGCCGUUGAAACUGGGGAUCUAGAGUGUGCGAGAGGGAUGCGGAAUGCGUGGUGUAGCGGUGAAAGGCAUAGAGAUCACGCAGAACCCCGAUUGCGAAGGCAGCAUACCGGUGCACAACUGACGCUCAGGCACGAAAGCGUGGGUAUCGAACAGGAUUAGAUACCCGAGUAGUC